AACAGCCAACUAGGCUUUAACUCUAAGCCAAUCAAUAAUUUCCUUACUUUGCUCCCACCUUCUCUCUAUAACAGCCUCCAGAGCCCCAGCUCCUGUUGUGCUUGGAGCAUUCCUAACCACUUUAGGCUUGGCGCUGCCCAAUUUGAAUCGAUUCUUGCUCAAUUAAACUCUUAAAAAUUUUAAUAUGCCUCAGUUUAGAUUUCAACAUUUCUGAUGUCAGAAGAGGGAACUGAAGGAGAUCCUCCCACAGCCUCCGGGAGCAAGGAGGCAUAGGUACCUGCUGAGCCCCUUCAGCUCACUGCUUUCUCCCUGCCUCUGGAGAUGGAGGGAUGGGACCUACUGGGACGCCCCCACUUGCUCCAGAGCCUGCCGAAAGGAUCCUGGGAAAACUGGCAGAAGCCAGCAAAGGGUGAAAAUUCUUAUGAAGUCAGCUCUCCCAGAUCUGUAUCGUGGUACCUGGUUGAGAGACGAAGGUGCCCCCUGCUUGUCAAUCCUUUCUCUCCCAGGGACAGCUAUUGCCUUCUUGUUCACCUUCUUCUGUGUCCUGAGAACUUGGCUUGACAACCAUCAGGAUGGAGGCCGUCAGAAUACGGCCGGAUAGAAAUAAAAACUGCAGUCACAUAGCCAGAGCGUGAGCAAAAGAAGAAACUGUGACCUGAAAUGACCGCAGAACCAAAGAUCCUGCUUCCCAUGUAACCCGAGGACCAGGACACGACCAGAGCUUGAAAGUCAGACUCUUAUCAGAAGUGAGGGGGCUUAUUCAGGAAGAUCUGGUGUUAAAUACCUUCCUCAUCAAAAAAUGUUUAGAACCCUGUUGUAAAUGUUUAGAACCCUCUCAUAAAUGUUUAAAACCUUACCAUGAAUGCUCGAAGCCCACCAAGCAAAACCUGUCCCACCAGCAUUUCCACGUGCCAGCCUGUUCUCCCUAACCUCUUAAACUUUGCCCCAAAUCCUGAAUCAGGGAGACAGAUCUGAAGACACACACACCCUGUUCUCCCUGCAGAUCGAUCUUGCUGAAUAAAGCUGAUCUCUUUUCCCAAAGGCUGAUGCCAUAAUUAAUCCACCAUUUCAGUGCAUUGGGCAAGUGAACCCCAAUUUUGUGUGGUAACAUACUUAUCUUACAAAUGAGUCUUUACAAGAACAGACAUGGGGCUCUAGAAACAAUUCAAAAGCCCACCUGUCC
RNAcentral lists this long non-coding RNA (1183 nucleotides) under Equus caballus (horse). RNAcentral's name for it is "lncRNA (ENSECAG00000052965.1)". The record is from RNAcentral. Lineage: Eukaryota; Metazoa; Chordata; Mammalia; Perissodactyla; Equidae.